This 700-nucleotide ribosomal RNA is filed under the name Thysanoptera sp. NZAC03010356. Its description in RNAcentral is "eukaryotic LSU rRNA". It matches the Rfam family "Eukaryotic large subunit ribosomal RNA", at positions 396 to 912 of the family's 3401-position model. The record is from RNAcentral. Lineage: Eukaryota; Metazoa; Arthropoda; Insecta; Thysanoptera.
UACGUGAAACUGAGCUGGUGGAAACGGACAGAAUCGAAAAGUGCGAACGGAGUUGAUUCACGCCGCAUCUUGGGCGGGGAGGUGCCGUGUUGGGACGGCGUAUCGUGCCCCUCGUCCCCUCGGGGAUGUGGGAACACGUGCGUUGCCCGGCGCGGUGCUUAACCGGCUGCCCUCGUCGGCUGCACUUCACUCUUUGUAGCACGCCGCCGAUCGUUGGGAUGUUUCGUCGAAGGCCCACGGUGGAGCCCUCGCCGCUUGCGGUGGGGACCCGAGGUGAUCUUGACGACGCCCGACGAUUUCAGUCGCUGCCGACCGCGCUUUUACGCGUCCUUAGGCCCCGGUUUUACUGGGGUGACGAGGGACAGGUCAUAUGGCAGUCGUGGCGGCGCUUCUGCUUUCGAUCCCUGUCCGACCCGUCUUGAAACACGGACCAAGGAGUCUAACAUGUGCGCGAGUCAUUGGGCACAUACGAAACCUAAAGGCGCAAGUGAAAGCAAAAGCAUUAUUGCUAAGGGGCUAUGGUCGCGCUUCGUGCCGGCCCGCAACCCCGGGGCGUCGCGGACUCUUCGAGUCCUGGCGCACCCUGAGCGCACACGUUGGUACCCGAAAGAUGGUGAACUAUGCCUGGCCAAAGCGAAGUCAGGGGAAACCCUGAUGGAAGCUUGCAGCGGUUCUGACGUGCAAAUCGAUCGUCGGAGCU